RNAcentral lists this long non-coding RNA (453 nucleotides) under Sorghum bicolor (sorghum). Its description in RNAcentral is "long non-coding RNA (SBIC_LNC010096)". Lineage: Eukaryota; Viridiplantae; Streptophyta; Magnoliopsida; Poales; Poaceae. The record is from RNAcentral.
AGGUAGUAGGUAAGUCAUACAUGUCGUUUUUCAUCCACUAUGCAACUUUCUCAUAUAUUUGAUCUACUGCCUUUGAGUGCUAAAUGAUAUCUCGGUUCUACAUUGCUGAUAUUUUAAUUUAGUAUUAUGUAUGCGAAUAAUUAGAUGAACAUUAUUUUAAAAGAUAUCUCUUCCCCUCACUCUCUCUACCUCCCGACCUCUCCAGAAGCCUGGCGCUCUCUCUCUCUCCCUUUCCCUCAAGCGACGGCGCGGGGCACCAGGCGAUGGCGCGGCCUGCAGGCAGGGCGACGACGCAGGAGAGGCCUGACAACCCCCUCCCUCUCCUCCAUCCUCUGUGUUGCCUCGUCGUUGUCGCGUCCUGCCGCGACGGCUGCGCUCCUCCUGUGGGCGAAACCCUAGCUAUCAUGCCGCAGCAAGAGGGCAAAGCACAGCGGCGGCCGACGCGGUGGCGCC